This 253-nucleotide ribosomal RNA is filed under the name uncultured bacterium. Its description in RNAcentral is "partial 16S ribosomal RNA". It matches the Rfam family "Bacterial small subunit ribosomal RNA", at positions 524 to 776 of the family's 1533-position model. The record is from RNAcentral.
UACGAAGGGGACUAGCGUUGUUCGGAAUCACUGGGCGUAAAGCGCACGUAGGCGGAUUCGUAAGUUAGGGGUGAAAUCCCGGGGCUCAACCUCGGAACUGCCUUUGAUACUGCGGGUCUCGAGUCCGAUAGAGGUGGGUGGAAUUCCUAGUGUAGAGGUGAAAUUCGUAGAUAUUCGCAAGAACACCAGUGGCGAAGGCGGCCAACUGGUCCGGUACUGACGCUGAGACACGAAAGCCAGGGGAGCGAACGGG